Small nuclear RNA from Myotis lucifugus (little brown bat), 134 nucleotides. Ensembl annotates it as U11 spliceosomal RNA. Lineage: Eukaryota; Metazoa; Chordata; Mammalia; Chiroptera; Vespertilionidae. The record is from Ensembl.
AAAAAGGGCUUCUGUAGUGAGUGGCACACGUAGAGCAGUUUGAUUGCUCUAUGUGCGGAAUCGACAUCAAGAGAUUUUGGAAGCAUAAUUUUUUGGUACUUGGGCAGCUAGUGAUCAUUGGUCCUAGUGCCUGC